GGCCCGGCUGUUGUGGUCGGCCGCACAGGUCUGUACUCUUCGGGCCGGGCCUUUCCUUCUGGAGAACCGUCAUGCCAUUCACUUGGUGUUGCGGAGAUCCAGGACUUUUACCUUGAAAAAAUUAGAGUGUUUAAAGCAGGCGAAACAGCUUGAAUACAUUAGCAUGGAAUAAUAAAACAG
Molecule: ribosomal RNA, 180 nt
Filed under: uncultured Glomeromycotina
Lineage: Eukaryota; Fungi; Glomeromycota
Description: partial small subunit ribosomal RNA
Source: RNAcentral